GAUGAAGAACGUAGUGAAAUGCGAUAAUUAAUGUGAAUUGCAGAAUUCAGUGAAUCAUCGAGUCUUUGAACGCACAUUGUGCCCCCUGGUAUUCCGGGGGGCAUGCCUGUCCGAGCGUCAUUGCUGCCCUCAAGCACGGCUUGUGUGUUGGGCUUCCGUCCCUGGCAACGGGGACGGGCCCAAAAGGCAGUGGCGGCACCAUGUCUGGUCCUCGAGCGUAUGGGGCUUUGUCACCCGCUCCCGUAGGUCCAGCUGGCAGCUAGCCUCGCAACCAAUCUUUUUAACCAGGUUGACCUCGGAUCAGGUAGGGAUACCCGCUGAACUUAAGCAUAUCAAUAAGCGGAGGA
This 347-nucleotide unclassified non-coding RNA is filed under the name soil metagenome. Its description in RNAcentral is "partial contains 5.8S ribosomal RNA, internal transcribed spacer 2, and large subunit ribosomal RNA". The stretch from base 1 to 120 matches the Rfam family "5.8S ribosomal RNA", at positions 35 to 154 of the family's 154-position model. The record is from RNAcentral.